RNAcentral lists this ribosomal RNA (383 nucleotides) under uncultured eukaryote. RNAcentral describes it as "partial 18S ribosomal RNA". It matches the Rfam family "Eukaryotic small subunit ribosomal RNA", at positions 592 to 976 of the family's 1831-position model. The record is from RNAcentral.
CAAUAGCGUAUAUUAAAGUUGUUGCAGUUAAAAAGCUCGUAGUUGGAUUUCUGGCAGGAGCGACCGGUCACACACUCUGUGUGUGAACUUGCGUUGUCUCUGGCCAUCCUUGGGAAGAUCCUGUUUGGCAUUAAGUUGACGGGCAGGGGAUACCCAUCGUUUACUGUGAAAAAAUUAGAGUGUUUAAAGCAGGCUUAUGCCGUUGAAUAUAUCAGCAUGGAAUAAUAAGAUAGGACUUCGGAACUAUUUUGUUGGUUUGCGUUACGAAGUAAUGAUUAAUAGGGACAGUUGGGGGUAUUCGUAUUUCGUUGUCAGAGGUGAAAUUCUUGGAUUUCCGAAAGACGAACUACUGCGAAAGCAUUCACCAAGGAUGUUUUCAUUAA